AUUUUUGCAAAAUUUGUGUUGUCUAUUAUAUAUGUGUGAGAUUUGUUUUAGAGAAAGUUUUAUAUAAUUUUAUUAUAUGAUUGUUGUUUUUCUAUAGCCCAUCUUUAAAUUUUUUUUAAAAUAUUUUAUAAAGACUAUUAGAGAUGGCAUGGUGACUUCCCCCGAAUUAGGACGAGAGAAGAUGAACGAAAUUAUUUAUGAGGUAAUAUUUUGUCUCUAAAAUAUUUUAAUAUGCUUUACUUCAAGUUGUUUAACUCAUUUUUUUUAUUUGACUUGUAGGAACCCCAUAAAUCCAAGGGACGUAUUUUGGGUUAGGAAAUUUUUCCUAAAUAUCAUCUUCUUCUCGUUCAUUGGGUUUCUCAUAUGCCCCAUCUUUCGAUUAUCAUCAAGCUAUGGAAGAAAAGAAUGAACGGAUUGCGGUUUUAGAGAAAGAAAUGGAAGAACAGAAAGCAGCAAUGGAAGAACAGAAAGAGGAGAACAUGAGAGGGAUGCAUAGUACAAGAAGAGAGACGAGUAGUUGGCAACGUUCAUGAAUGAGAUGCGCUUAAACUUGCCAUUAUUUAAGGAUUUUCCCUCUUUGUUAUUUAUGGAUUUAAAAUGUUUUUACUAAUAAUUAUGUUGUUCUGAAUUUAAAU
Molecule: small RNA, 635 nt
Filed under: Arabidopsis thaliana (thale cress)
Lineage: Eukaryota; Viridiplantae; Streptophyta; Magnoliopsida; Brassicales; Brassicaceae
Description: ATSL169030
Source: RNAcentral